Molecule: ribosomal RNA, 253 nt
Filed under: uncultured Lachnospiraceae bacterium
Lineage: Bacteria; Bacillati; Bacillota; Clostridia; Lachnospirales; Lachnospiraceae
Description: partial 16S ribosomal RNA
Rfam family: Bacterial small subunit ribosomal RNA
Source: RNAcentral
UACGUAGGGGGCAAGCGUUAUCCGGAUUUACUGGGUGUAAAGGGAGCGUAGGCGGCUUAGUAAGUCUGAAGUGAAAGCCCGCGGCUCAACUGCGGAACGGCUUUGGAAACUGAGUAACUGGAGUGCUGGAGGGGCAGGCGGAAUUCCUGGUGUAGCGGUGAAAUGCGUAGAUAUUAGGAGGAACACCAGCGGCGAAGGCGGCUUACUGGACCGUGACUGACGUUGAGGCUCGAAAGCGUGGGGAGCAAACAGG